UACAGAGGGUGCGAGCGUUGUUCGGAAUUAUUGGGCGUAAAGGGCGCGUAGGCGGUGCGGUAAGUCACCUGUGAAAUCUCCUGGCUCAACUGGGAGCUUGCAGGCGAAACUGCCGUGCUGGAGUGUGGGAGAGGUGCGUGGAAUUCCUGGUGUAGCGGUGAAAUGCGUAGAUAUCAGGAGGAACACCUGUGGCGAAAGCGGCGCACUGGACCACAACUGACGCUGAGGCGCGAAAGCUGGGGGAGCAAACGGG
RNAcentral lists this ribosomal RNA (253 nucleotides) under uncultured bacterium. RNAcentral describes it as "partial 16S ribosomal RNA". It matches the Rfam family "Bacterial small subunit ribosomal RNA", at positions 524 to 776 of the family's 1533-position model. The record is from RNAcentral.